UAAGGAAUAUUGGACAAUGGACCAAAAGUCUNAUCCAGCAAUUCUGUGUGCACGAUGGAGGUCUUCGGAUUGUAAAGUGCUUUCAGUUGGGAAGAAGAAAGUGACGGUACCAACAGAAGAAGCGACGGCUAAAUAUGUGCCAGCAGCCGCGGUAAUACAUAUGUCGCAAGCGUUAUCCGGAUUUAUUGGGCGUAAAGCGCGUCUAGGCGGUUUACUAAGUCUGAUGUGAAAAUGCGGGGCUCAACUCCGUAUUGCGUUGGAAACUGGUAGACUAGAGUACUGGAGAGGUGGGCGGAACUACAAGUGUAGAGGUGGAAUUCGUAGAUAUUUGUAGGAAUGCCGAUGGAGAAGUCAGCUCACUGGACAGAUACUGACGCUAAAGCGCGAAAGCGUGGGGAGCAAACAGGAUUAGAUACCCUGGUAGUCCACGCCGUAAACGAUGAUCACUAGGUGUUGGGGGUCAAAGCCCAGCGCCCAAGCUAACGCGAUAAGUGAUCCGCCUGGGGAGUACGCACGCAAGUGUG
This 524-nucleotide ribosomal RNA is filed under the name uncultured bacterium. Its description in RNAcentral is "bacterial SSU rRNA". It matches the Rfam family "Bacterial small subunit ribosomal RNA", at positions 355 to 896 of the family's 1533-position model. The record is from RNAcentral.